RNAcentral lists this long non-coding RNA (1251 nucleotides) under Prunus dulcis (almond). RNAcentral's name for it is "sRNA ncRNA". The record is from RNAcentral. Lineage: Eukaryota; Viridiplantae; Streptophyta; Magnoliopsida; Rosales; Rosaceae.
AUUCAUAAAUCCUCAGUAAACACAGGAUGAAGCAUAGAUAAAUCUUACUCAAGCUUUUAAUCAGGCUCAGCGUAUAAAUAGAGAGGUCCCUUUGAUCCAUUAAGGUUUGAGCCGACGCGAUUUUCUUAUCUCGCCAUCAUGUACGGAAACAAAUGCCCUAGAAGCUAGAAAAGGGUUCUUCUCCUUCACUCUUCUUCUCUAACACAGCACAAGAACGAGACGCUUCGUCAGCUCCAUUUCUUCCGCUUUUCUCAUCAGGUUCCUCAAGUUUUUCUUUUAUUUUUCUCGGAUUUUUUAGAGUUUUUUUUUUCCUGAUAUGAAUGGUGGAUUUUUAUUUUUUAUUUUUUAUUUUUGGUUGAUGGAUUUUGAUUUUUCAUUUAUAGAGUUGAGACUGGGUAUCAUUUCAUCUGAAAACUACGACGUUUAGGGUUCUUAAUGCUCCUUGUUACUGGAUCUUUUUAAUUUUAUGUAUAUGAAUUUUACUCUGCCUAAGAACAGCUCUCUUGAUAUUUGACCCCAAAAAAAAAACAGCUCUCUUGAUAUUUCUUUUUCUUAAUUAUAGCUUUUUUUUGUAUCAAUUGUUUUUUCUCAUUUAGUGUAACUAUUUGAAUGUGCAAGACAUGGAUAACAUACAAGAUAUCGCACAAGGGAUGCAGGAAUUUAAAAUUGAAGCGAUCUCAUGCACUUUUCCUCAGGAAAUCAUACAAGAGAUCCUACUUAGGCUACCCGUCAAAUCUGUUAUCAAAUGCACCUCAGUGUGCAAGACAUGGAGGUCCAUGAUCAUAACCAAAGCUUUAUUCGCACCCACCUCAACCCAACAGUUCAUGUUAAUAACCUGAACGCCAGUCACCUAUUCCUAAUCCACAGGGUUGCUGGUAAGAGGAGCGUCACUAUGUUCCACAAAGCCCUUGUUGACGAUGUACUGGAAGAGGUUUAUUCUCUGCAUUAUGAUAACAAGGCUUUUGACGAGUACUCCAAGAUAGAAUUUCCAAUUGCUCCAAAGCAAGAACUGUACAAUUGACAUCUUCGUGUGGUCGGCACUUGUAACGGGCUAAUCUGCUUUGCGGAUGAUAUCUUCCGUUAUGGUUACGAUAUCUUUAUAUGGAACCCAGCCAUUAGAAAGUUAGUGACCCUUCCCUGGCCUGGUGUUACCUAUUGGGUUUGGUUUUGAUGCUAAUACCAAUGACUAUAAGGUUGUGAGACUUGUUAUUUAUGUCAUACUCUUUCAUCACCCAUAUAUCAAGAAAACGG